GACACAAGUUAACGUUAUAUACAUAACAAUCAUUCAUAUAUCAUUGUACAAUAUCGCGCAAUAAUGUUAUGACUGGUUAAUUCUAUUGUCGUUGUUGGACAUAGGAAGUGUAUUGGAAGUUCCCUUUAUAUCCUCAACAUUUACUUCUGAAGGUGUCUCUCUUGUAUAAGGAAAAGUGAUGGCCAAAAGGCACACAGAGAUGAAAUGUGGAUUUUGUUGUAAAAACUUUAAAGAUCCAAAACUUUUGCCUUGUUUUCAUACAGUUUGUCUCACGUGUUUGGAGGAUAUUGUUGAAAAAAAUGAUCAAAGUGGACAUUUUCCAUGUCCAAUUUGUCGGACACCAAUAACCAUUCCCGACGGAGGAGUGGGAUGUUUUCAGACAAAUUUUUAUAUUCAAACAGGUCAUGAUCAUAACUUUAAGUUAGAUUGUGACGCAUGCGAAGGAAAUGAAUUAGCAAGUCAUCAAUGUAGACAAUGUGACCAGAAUUUCUGCAGAAGUUGCAGUAAAGUACACUUGCGCAUGUCAUCUUCGCGAGAUCACGAACUGGUUUCAAUUAUAUAUUCAGAACUGAGACAAGUUGCCCUAGAUGGUGUUAUAUCCUGUUGUAAAAGUCAUCCAUCCGAAGAAUAUACAAUGGUAUGCAAGGACUGUGAUGAAUUAAUAUGUCGAGCUUGUAAGAUUUCAUUGCACAAGGAACAUUCGUGCGGUACAAUUUCUGAAGAAGUGGAGGAAAAGAAGAUGCAGCUUAGAGAUCUCAUUGAUAUAUCUGAGAACAAUUUGACAGAAAUUAAAAAAGAUAUGCGUGUUGUUAAAAGACAAACGGAGUCAAAACAUACAUAUUUUAAUGAACAAAUAACUGAUUUAAGAAAACAAAAAGAUCUGCUUAUUUCAAAGUUAAAUGAAAACUUCAAAUCAUUUGAAGGCAAAAUUAGGGAAUUAAACGAAGAUCAGUUAAUGCUGUUCAAUGAGAUGAAUGAAAAUCAGAAAUUGAAAACUGAAAACUUUAACCAAACAAUAGACAAUGCAAAAGAAGCACUUGAAACAAGUGAAGAUGUAAGAUUUCUAAAAGAUUAUGACAGCCUCGUUAAAAAACUACGUGAAAUAGAAGUGUCAUUGGUCCCAGUUGUUUCUGGGCAUAAACUGAUGGAAACAGUUGAAUUAUGUACUACUUGGCUCAUAAAACUUAACGGACAAAACAGUCAGUUAUCGUAAAUUUGGAAUGCAAAAAAUACAUGAAGUAUACUGCUAAAAAUCAGUGAUAUAGUUUCUUUAGGUUUUAUGUAUAAUGUAAAAUUUGCAGAAUGACUUGUGCAGUUAGUUUAGAUAGGUUGCCUGUGAUCUAGUGGUAACAUGCUGGACUAUUUAUCUAGGGUUCUGGGGUUCGAAUCCCGGUCCAUGCACUGGGAAAUUCUGAGAUGCUCUUGAGUGUCUCCCACCUAGCCAAGAGACAAGCACUGGGUCUUCUCAGGAAAGGCGUGCUAUACACAAGGUACAUUAAAAGAACCUGAUUAUCUAUUCGAAAAGAGCUAGACUUAGGUACCCGGACAAGCCUGUACCUUAUGGAUUUGUCUCUCCCACUGUUCGGGGGGCUUUCUCUCGCUUUAGUAGAGGAUGAACUUGGCAUCCUGUGUAUCUGCCUUUGUGCUAUGUAAGGCGCCUUUGAAAGGAAAGUGUUUAUCAUGAAAAAGGCGCUGUAUAAAUUGGGUGUGAUACUAUUAUAUUAUUCUAAGUAAAGAAGACUCAUUCAUAGUAAUAGAAAGGUAUUGGACAGCUUAUACUUUAGUAGUAAGUGUCGAUAAAAUGAUAUAAUGUACUACCUUCUACACAUAUUAUAUUUUGGAGCGAAGUUAUAUAUACAGUUAACAAUUGAUUUAAGGUAACACUCAAUAUUUUGCAAUAUCUAAUAAAGUACAUUUUACAAUUUACAAACACUGAGAACAGUAUACAGUUUGCUGUGAAUAUCUUAAUGUUUCAUGGGAAUCGAAUAAUCAACGAUAUAGCUAGCUUCAUUCAUUUAGCGACUUCAUCCCAUUGUUUUUAAAAUCCACAAAAUACCUUUUGUUGGAAAGAAGGUUUGCUUUAGAUCAUAUGACAUUCCAGUCAAAAUAUAAAAUGACAUGAAGUAAAUGUUCUUAAGUUUAUUUUUAUUAUCAUUUCCCUUACUCAAAAUAACUUUCCUUCGUUUAAUAAUUCUAGACAUUUUUUGUGUGUAUUCCUUUACUUCUUUUACUUCUAGAUAAUGUUUGACGCUGUUAAACGGAUAAAAACAUAUGACGUCAUUGUCGGAUUUUUUUUAGCAUUUUACACCUUACUACCAAUGUAUUGUUCUCACAGUAACAUUUUCUGUUAAGUGUACAUAUGAAGAGCAUGAUAAUGAUCCGUUAGACUUAGAUGGUUUAACAUUUGUUACAUACGUUUAAAGUUUAAAACUUAUCUCUAUAUGCUGUUCCCAUUUUUGGAUCGACUAUUCGAAGAAUAGGGAGAGCUAUCCUACUCACCAUGGCGUCGGCGUCACUCCUCGAUUAUGUUUUUCAUAUCAGUCCACAUUUUGACAAAACCUUUUGCCAUAUAGUUUUGAAACUUUCAACGUUUGUGUACCAUCACCAUUUCCAGUUUAAGACAAGAGUACGUAACUCUGUCAAGGACUUUGACUGAAUAAUGACCCCUUUCAACUUACAAAUUUUGGUGAAGUUCUUCGUACCAUUUCAUAUUUUGUGUAAACUGUUCGAAACAUUUAUCACCUGUUUAUUAUAACAGUCUCUAUCUGUAGGCUAGAAUUCUAUCAAGUAUUUUGACUGAAUUAUGGCCCCUUUUGGACUUGAAUAUUGGUUCAGUGUUUAAACAAGUCUAUGUUUUGUCAAAACUAUAUGACACGUGGCUUUGAAACUUUGACCACUGGUUUAUCAUAACAGCCUCUUUCUGUAGACAAUAGCACAUAACUCUGUCCAGUAUUUAUCUGAAUUAUGGCCCUGUUUCGACACGGAAAUUGUUCAGUUUUCGUAAAAGUUCAUGUUUGUCAAAACUAUUUGACAGGUGGUUUUGAAACUUUGAACUCCUUUCUAUUAUAAUAGUAUUUUGGCUGAAUUAUGACCUUUUUUGGACUUGAAAAUUGGUUCAAUUUUUUUACAAGUCCACGAUUUGUCAAAACUAUUUGACAUAUGGCUAUGAAACUUUGAACACUUGUUCAUUGUCAUUAUCUCCAUCUGUAGUCAAGAGUAUGUAACUAUAGCAAAGAGAUUUAGUUGAAUCAUGGCCCUUUUUUGGACUUGGAAAUCAGUUGUUUUUUUAUACCAGUCCAUGUUUUGUCUAAACGUUUUGAUAUUUUAACCAAUUGUUUACCUUCAUAAUCUCCAUAUGUAGACAAGACUACAUAACUAGGACAAGGAUAUAGUACAUAGCUUUUCUACUCACAAUAUUUUAGCUAGACCAUUCGAAAAGUAACUAGAAACCCAUACUUACGUCAAUUCUCCGAAUAGUCGAGCGCCCUGUCAACAGAAAACUGUUGUUGUUUCUGAAAUUAGACAUUUUAGAAAUUUCUUAAAUCAACAAACUAAACAAUCGAACAUGCACAUGCGCGAAGUUUUUGUAAUAUAUUAAUCUCAUGAUCAACACAGGCUACACGAGAAUAUCUACAAACUGCAUUUAUUUUGCAGCUGCAAAUAUGCUGAUAUCGCUAAACACUUUAAAGAUAAUAGUGUUUUUCCGGGUUUAAGUAAAAUAUUUAUAAAUGAUGUAUUGAUUUGUGCAUUGUAGUUAAUAACUAGUUUUAAUAAAUUUGUAAGAAAUGUUUAGCCCGAUUUAUUAUCAUAUAGAAUUCAUUAAGGUAGUUCUGCACGCUUGAUAAACCGGAAGUAAUGGUGUAACUUCAUUCAUCAGGAUCUGGCUUCGGCGUACGGAAGUAAAACCAUUUUAUGAUUUAAUGGCAACCCAUAACAUACACAAUGGAUUUUAUGGCGAAUUCGGACAUGAUAAAUAUCUGGACAAAUGUAUCUGAAAGUGUGAACAAAAGACUUGAAAACGAUAUAAUAAAUGUUUUGGCUAAAUACACAGAUAACUAUUUUGACAUUCUGGAGGCUAUCAACAAACUAGAAGCGCACGGAGUAUUUUCACAGGAAUAUUGUCACCAACUUCUCCGCAAAUUUUCUAAUCUGCAUCUUUCAAAGAGGGAACAGCUUUCAGUGUUCAUUUUGGACAUCGUGAAGGAAGCGUCACCGGUCGAGUUCUACGACAUUCUUGAUCUAAUUGAUCUAUCCGACAUGGCAGAAGAAAUUCACUGUGAACAUAAUGGGCCAGUACAUAGACAAAUACGUAGAGCACCCAUACCACAUUCACAUCACUUACAGAAACAUUUCUAUGUGUUAAAAAGUUACCUUGACGAUAAUGUAUUCACAGAUAGGAGGAAUUUUCUUAGAGACAAUACAAAUGAACUUAAGUCAUCCUUUCCAAAUUUAGAAAACGAAAAUGUAUUAACAAAAGCAGCUAAUAAAUUCGCUGUGAAUACAUGGCUGUGGGUACAACAUUGCAAACGUGACACGCAUGAAAUCAGAAACAUUCUGAUGGAUAUGAGAGCAUUAAGCUGGCCAGCUGGUGUUGAUCCUAUACUGUCUGAGGUCAUAUUUGAAAGCAAAAUGGCUGUUGUAUCUGCGAUGGAAGGUUCAUUUGAAUGCUCGAAAGGUCACCGGCGCAAUGCAAAGUACUUGGUCAGGGAGUACCAUGACCCACUAACGAAAUCACUCGUUUGCCAUGACAGUAGGUAUGUAAGCCAAAUCCUGGCGAGAAACAAUGUUGCUGACACAACUUCCGUCCUCAGAGAAUGUCAGAUAGGACUCAGAUUUCUAGAAUCUGAAACUAACGGGAACCAUUUCUGCAAACAAAUGCAACGAUCGUUUCUCUUGUACCUGGCUCAACACUACCUCCGUAUUGGAAAUGAUCUACACAUUGAUAGAACAGUACCAAUACCUGCAAAGGACUUACAAGAUGCUGAGAACGUUUUGUAUGUAGUCAGAAUAAAUCUACAAUCUGGACAAAUCGUUGAACGAAGACGAGAUAUGGUGUACAAUGUAUGCAUGGCGAGAUUGUUUGACGCUCACGGCCAGCGACAAACGGCAAUAGCUUACUUGUGUGAGGCACAACAUUUGUCCAGGAAUGGUGCUUUCUUCGAAGGGGAAAUUAGAAAUAUUGGUGAUUAUAAAGCAGUGCUUGAAAGGUUAUAGGUUCACUAUGGGCACUAUUCUAUAGUUUGUAUUACUACAUUUCUGAAAAUUACCUUCACGAUACUAAUUGAUUUGGAAGAAGCUUGGCUUGUAUUAAACAUAACUUUAGCUGAGGAUAUUGAAAUUAACUGAGUACUAAAUUUGUACUAAACAUGUUAAAUAUGACACUGCGUCACGAAUACUUAUAUAAACAAAAUACUAUUAGUUUAGGGGUACAAUCAACAACAUCAUAUCUUUGUAUGCUGCUCUAUUUUGACAGGCGAGACUUUACUAUCACUUCCACAUUUCCGUCCACAUAUUACAGCAUAGUUAUAUUGAAUUAAAAAAUCAAUAUAGCAAUUAUUAUACUUAUUGGAAAGUAAGGCUAGGGAGGCUGCGUUUUUGGAAUAUGGCAUUCCCUGUUUGAUAUUAGUCCUUAUUGUUUAUAUAGUUAUUUUGUUUACUUGAAAUUAUCACAGGAUGAAUUGUAUAUGCAGUUCUAAAUAACCUACAUAUUCCAAAUAUUUAAGAAUAAUUGAAAUACAGCCAAACUUCAGAGAUCACUUGCAUUAAGUGACCACUUUUUCAUUUCCUAUUUAUAUUAAUAAAGAACAAAUUAUGUUGUAUAAAGAGACCAGUUGUGUUAGGAGACCGCUUUUUGUCCUUCCCACGGGUGGUCUUCUUAUGCAAGUUGUACUGUGCGAUAAAUAAUUGUUUUAUUAGACUGCUAGAUAACAGAUAAUUUAACAGAAAUAAAAAAUAACAAGCCAUUAAGAUUCUUAAAGAAUAUGUAAAUUCUUUGGUGAACGCUGGACAAGAACAAAGAACAGCAUCCUUGGUUUUAUGUUAUUUUGAGUUUACUCUGAGAGUCAAUCUCAGAAACAGAGGCUUUACUUAUCUCGUUUGCGUCUAAACAUAUAGGUAUCCAAAAUCGUAUUGACCUUGAAAGCACGUAAAUUUGAAAGAUGUGUGAUAUAAUAUACUAGAUCAUCAAAUAUCUUCCUGGUGGCAAAAAUAUUUGUGUCACGUCUGUUUUAAUAUCUCGGAUUUAAAUCGAUAUUUAUGUCUUGCUUGGUGAAUUGUCAUAAUCUUGAAUGAAUCAUAUUUUGAUAUCAAACUGUAUCUUUGAUUUCCCCCUAACGAUCACUGAUUAUCAAGAAACAUAGUUAAACAGAUCUAAAAAUAAUUAUUUUGUCAAGUUUGUUGCCUCUGUUUGUUCAUUUAUUUGUUUGUUGUGCCUCGUUUAUAUGUUUUACUUUUGCAUACAUAAGUAUUUUGUACACAUCUAUACAGCCACUGUAGAGUUUCGAUUUGAUGGUACUGCACUGAACUUGAGAGAGCUGUGCUCUGGAACCAGAGAAUACUUCCCACUUGAAUUUGAGAAAGCUGCUCUCUUGACUUUGAGAAAGCUACACGCUUGAAUUUGAAAGUACUGCACUCUUGAGUUUGAGAAAGCUGCACUCUUGAAUUUUAGAGAGCUGCACGUUUCAGUUUUUAAUAUACUGUACUUUUGAACUUGAGAGAGCUGCACUAUUGAACGUAAGAGAGCUGCAUUUUUGAUCUUGAAUAUCACAACUUGAUCCCACGAAGGCGUCUGGUCCUUAUUUCAUAAGCCCUAGACUGCUAAAGGAAACUCAAACGAAUUAUUUGGACCCCUUACAAAGUUUUUAACAUGCUCAUUGAAAUGGCGUAUUUCCAAUCUGAAGGGGGAAAAAGCACGUAUCACCUAUAUUCAAAAAGGCCGAUACGUCUAAUCCAAGUAAUUACAUGCCCAUUUCCCUUCUUAGCUCAAGGCAAAUUAAUGGAACGCUGUAUGAAUUCACAAAAUCUUUACAACUUCAAUAUAGACAAUUAUCUGUUGACAACUUCUCGGUCCGGUUUUAUCCGAGGCGUGUCAAUAACCAAUCAAUUUUUAUAUAUUUAUAACGACUUUUGUCAGGCACUAGACGUUUGAAAGAAAUAAAAUUUGACAAGGCAGUUUA
This is an RNA transcript of Mercenaria mercenaria, 7175 nucleotides long. RefSeq lists it as uncharacterized. NCBI's taxonomy places the organism in Eukaryota, Metazoa, Mollusca, Bivalvia, Venerida, Veneridae. The record is from RefSeq and is a predicted model, not a curated record. The transcript is spliced from 2 exons.